AUGACUGAAUUAUUCACAUAUCGAAUCAAAGUGGUAAGAAGAAAAAAAAGAAGAAGGAAAAAAAGUAAGAAAAAAAGUGGCAAGAAUUAUCCAUUUCUAGCAAAGAGAGAACACCACAAGAUCAUCGGAAGACGGACCAGAGCAGAGCGGAGCGGGGGCAAGCGCUUUUCUCGUUCCUUUCCCCAGUUCCCCCUCCCACGAAUCCUUGCUAUUCUCGUCGCCGUCGAGCUAGAGGCGGAGCAGCGUGUCGUAGCGGCAGGUCAUCUGAUCGGCCUCGGCGGCCGCGGCGUCAAGGGCCCCGUCCUGCGGGGGCGGCAUGUUCAGAUCGAAGGGCAGCGGGGAGCGGGAGGCGGCCGCGUCGUCCCCAUCCUCGCAGAGGAGGACGGAGGACGAGGAGCCGCAGUAGCUGCGGCAGUCCUCCUCCCCCUCCUCGGCCGUGCCAGCUCGGGCGGCGCUGCGGGCCCUGGCGGGGGCGCGGGGCCCGCCGCCGCUCCAGGACUCGACGGUGCUGCUGUGGCUGGACGUGACGGCCGCGGCGGCGGCUGCGUGGCGGAGGAAGGCGGGAAGUUGGUGCGGGCGGUGGGCCCGCGGAGGGAUCGGGCGGCGGAGUCGUAG
Molecule: ribosomal RNA, 615 nt
Filed under: Triticum aestivum (bread wheat)
Lineage: Eukaryota; Viridiplantae; Streptophyta; Magnoliopsida; Poales; Poaceae
Description: partial small subunit ribosomal RNA
Source: RNAcentral